UAUCCUACGGGGGGCAGCAGUGGGGAAUAUUGGUCAAUGGAGGAAACUCUGAACCAGCAACGCCGCGUGAAUGAUGAAGGUCUUCGGAUUGUAAAGUUCUUUUCUAAGGGAAGAAGAUAGUGACGGUACCUUAGGAAUAAGCCUCGGCUAACUACGUGCCAGCAGCCGCGGUAAUACGUAGGAGGCAAGCGUUAUCCGGAAUGACUGGGCGUAAAGGGUGCGUAGGUGGUUUGGCAAGUUAGUAGCGUAACCCCGGGGCUCAACCUCGGAACUACUACUAAAACUGUCGGACUUGAGUGCAGGAG
RNAcentral lists this ribosomal RNA (305 nucleotides) under uncultured bacterium. Its description in RNAcentral is "bacterial SSU rRNA". It matches the Rfam family "Bacterial small subunit ribosomal RNA", at positions 335 to 654 of the family's 1533-position model. The record is from RNAcentral.